This is a long non-coding RNA of Bactrocera oleae (olive fruit fly), 2263 nucleotides long. RefSeq lists it as uncharacterized. NCBI's taxonomy places the organism in Eukaryota, Metazoa, Arthropoda, Insecta, Diptera, Tephritidae. The record is from RefSeq and is a predicted model, not a curated record.
GCCAACUCCUCCAACGCCAACUGUGCGGUCGGCUACCAACGUGCCACGCACGGGGCCCACCCCAACGCCCCGAUCUGCAGUUGCAACUACCCCUGCAACGACACCGAUAUCAGCACCAGUUCCUCGUUGUGGCACGCGAUGGUCGCCUUCAGAGGCAAAUGACAGCAAGUUGCGCAGGCACACGGGCAUUCUUUAAACUGCCUGUCGCAUACGCAUGUGACUCAAGCGUGUGAGUCCACGGGUCUGUGCUAAAUUUGCUGCAAACCACAUCACACGCACCUUCAUCGCACCACGAGGCGCGACGUCGGUCGACCACCUAUCCUUCGUAGCCGCGCAACAAGACCUUAACUCUCAACUCGUGCGGUACACCCGCGGAAUGGAAUAUCAAUAUGUCGUCGUCAGCCUAGACCGCAACCAUGUCGUUCCACGCGUCUGAGCAGCGUUGCGUCAACGCUACACCAGCUUCAGCGACUACUAGGCUAUUCAUUUGCCUAAUGGGGCCGGGAUGGCUAAAUGACCACUCCAUCCCCCUCACCAUAAGACACUGUCACACUACAUUCACCACAUCAAUUUACAUCCACAUCACCACACCUACUUACCAUACAUUCCACAUCACUACACCAUGCACUAUGAAGACAUCAAUAGAUACUAUAUAAGGGACUCAAAAGGAAUCCCGUACGCUUUUUAGCAUUCGAUUCGCUUACGGCCACAUCUUUCUAUUCGAGCAUCCGCCUAAAGUCACUUCGUUUUUCUUUCCUUUUACGAACGGUGAGUGAAAUUAAAAUUAAUUUAUUAGUUAAGUAAAUAGUACCAGCUAAAAAAAAGGUAAAUAUUCAAACGAUUUCAAGUUCUUUUUGAGAAAACUUCAUUUCUCCAACUAGAAAAUAAGGAUAACUCUGUGCUUGAUGUGAGAAUAGAUAGCCGUAAAUUAUUCAAAAGUUCGAAUAAGGUAUUGUGGCUUAUUUUAGCGUCCAUAGAUGAUUUUCCAAACGAAUUGCAGUUUGCAAUUGCACGCUUUACUGCGAAGAAGUAAAUUAUUAAAAAAAAAAAUGGCUUGCAUGUUAGUGUUUAACCUGUUAAAGAGAGCAUUCGUUUAUGCAAUACCCCCGUUCGAACUUUUGUUACACUGAAAAAAGUAGUUGUUCUAAAUGUAAUCAAGUGGGUGACUACAAAGAAAGAAUCGUUUUUUUUUUAAACAAAUAAAAAAUUUAAAUACUGACCUGUCUUUUAAAAAUGAAAUGACAGAUCACAUCACAUUACUCCUUUUAAAUUUAAAGAAAGCAUUUUAUAGUCAGGAAAUUUCAAGAUGGUUUCCCAAUUCCCUUUAGUUGCUUCAAUUGUUGAUUAAAAAAAGUAAUACAAACGUAAACAAAGUUAACAAAGUUAACAAGAAAAUAUAAUAUCAUUUCUCUUUAAUUAAGUAAUUCAGAGUUCGACCGAAUAUGUAGAAGUUUAAAUAAAAUCAACAAUUGGGAAGCGACAGAGUUUAGGCAGUUCUUUUGGUAUAGGUGAAUUUGUCCUUAAAGAUUACGUUGGUAGUGACCAUUACUCUUUUUUUUCUCAGGUAUAAGACUACUAUCAGGCAAUAAGUCAUAUAGCACUGCCAAAGAAAUCUUGAAAGAAUUCGUUGAUUUGUUUGGAAAUAUUAUAUAAUAUAUAUACACGGAGGCCAUUUAGUUAGUUACAAUAUACAUGGUUUACUACAUUAAGAUUACUGUACUAAGCAAUAUGGUUUUCUAGAUAAAUUUUCCGCUUAUAAGUUUGAAAACUACAUGCAAUAUUUCAAAAAAAAAAACUUAUGACUAAGCCCAAUAAAAGACUGCGGCAAUUACAUUUAUUACUUGAAGAAAGAAAUAGUUAAGACUGCAUUUUAUUUCAUUAUGUUAAAUUAUUUAAAAAUAAUGUUGAUACUGCCAAAUGUUUAUUUCUCAAUCAGAUGGAUUCACCAACCAGCCCUAUUCGAAGAAAUUAGAACUGUCCAACAACGUCUUCGACUCCCGUAAAAGAGCAAUUGCUAUUGAAGCAGAAAAAGUUUAAUAUUUGUAGCUACAACUCGGAGGCAAGCUUAUCAAAACGACAGGAAAACACGAGGAUUUCAACAUGUUAAAAACUAUUUCUACUCAGAAUAUAUAAAGCGAAGUUAUUGGUUUGUUAAAUUAGAAUUAUAAUAUAAGUAUUAUUAUAAUAAUUAUAAAUUUAUAAUAAUAAUAAUAAAUUAUAAUAAUUAUAAAUAAAUAAAAAACAUUUAAGUUAAAAAAAAAAA